CAUAACUAGGGUCCAAUCACCUGCCAGGCUUAUGUUGCAGAAAAAACACCAAACCAAGCAACAUACAAGAAUGUAAACCAUUUUUUUCAGCUAAACACCUUUAAGUGUCAAUUCUUCAAAUUCUACAAGGGAGCUUGCAGCCUCCAUUUGUUUAGGAGUGUGUGUGUGUGUGUGUGUGUGUGUGUGUGUGUGUGUGUGUGUGUGUGUGUGUGUGUGAGAGAGAGAGAGAGAGAGAGAGAGAGAGAGAGAGAGAGAGAGAGAGAGAGAGAGAGAGAGAGAGAGAGAGAGUCUUUCCCAUCCCAUCAACAUUAUUUCUCACACCAGACCCUGAUUUCCUCAUUUGAGGCUCAACAGCUAGAAGCUGUGAAUGAGCCUACAUAAAGUCAUAAUCACCCUUCCAUCUUUUGGAAUCAGUAUCACACACCCCAAUUAUCACAAUCUUUAGUUCUAGUUUUGUUAGACCACCAAUUGGCUAGACAAAAGCCUAUUCUCAACACAGCAGUGACUUCUAGAAGUCCACCAAAGCAGAAACACACUCUCAUUCACUGAAAAGCAGACAUAGAGAAGGUAAUGCAGUGUUAAAUGACGUUUUGUAUGGAUGUAGGAGACCCAGGCACAAACCCCUGCCCUGCUAUGAAACUUGCUGGCAGUCAUGGACUACAUAUGGUCUCAAAGCAACGUAUCCCAGAGUGGCAGCCAACUAGCCUGGUACCAGCAAAAGGUCUGGGACACCUUAAGGUCCAGUUUGUUGUACCUUAAUGAUUGGAAGCAGUGAGGAGACCAGUCCACAAAGAUGGUUGGCAUUUCCCAGUGGUAACCAUAGAUUUAACUCUAGUGACCAGCACCCUCCUGGACACCUGGUACAAGCCUUCUUCCUGAGAGCCUUCCAUGCAACGCAGAGAAGAUUCUACAGCUUUUUUUACAUAGUAUGAAAAGCUGUUCUUCAGAUGGACGGUUGCAAGAGCAAAAAGCAUCAUCAUGCUGCAAGACUAUCACCACCAGCAGAAGCUUAACACCCCAGAAUGAGUGAUAAGCUUGCAGUAAAAAUUCAGGCAGGCAUGGGGCGGUGUCUCAGUUUGUGCUAGCUGGUGUGAAGUGAACCACAUCCCUCCUCAAGUUCUCCAUGCACACCAGGAGACUUCAGAGUAGGGUGGGGUUGUCAACAACUGAAAAUAAAUGUCUGCCAAGCCAAGAUCUGUGGUCCUUAGACAAAGGAACAGUAUU
Long non-coding RNA from Hemicordylus capensis (graceful crag lizard), 1224 nucleotides. RefSeq lists it as uncharacterized. Lineage: Eukaryota; Metazoa; Chordata; Lepidosauria; Squamata; Cordylidae. The transcript is spliced from 3 exons. The record is from RefSeq and is a predicted model, not a curated record.